AUUAAUGUUGAACAUACCUUGUUUCACCUCCUUGGUUGUAAAAGGUUUGAUCAGUUCUAUCUGUUGUUCAGUCGAGAGUGUAAUUCCAUUUUUCAAGAAGAUAUGAAAAGCUUUUAUUCUUCUUCUUUCUUUCCUUCCAAACAUUGCUUCAUAAUAGUCUACAAGAACAUUUGCUAUGCUUGUAUUGUCUAUUUGUAUUGUCCUGGUUUGAUACUUAAUCUGAGUGAUGGAUUGUUGCAAUCUAUUGCGUUUGAUAACUGAAUAGAAGUAUCUAGUGUUGUCAUCUCCUAGCUUGACUUACU
Molecule: long non-coding RNA, 302 nt
Filed under: Nicotiana benthamiana
Lineage: Eukaryota; Viridiplantae; Streptophyta; Magnoliopsida; Solanales; Solanaceae
Description: long non-coding RNA (NBEN_LNC017145)
Source: RNAcentral